GGGGGGGGGGGGCGGGGGGGGGGGGGGAUGCGGGGCGGGCGGGGGGGCGGGGAGCUGGGGGGGCGGAGGUGAGCGGCGGACGGGGGAGUAACACGUGGAGAACCUACCUAUAAGACGGGGAUAACCUCGGGAAACCGGAGCUAAUACCGGAGAAGAUUCUGAACCGCAUGGUUCAAAAGUGAAAGACGGUCUUGCUGUCACUUAUAGAUGGAUCCGCGCUGCAUUAGCUAGUUGGUAAGGUAACGGCUUACCAAGGCAACGAUGCAUAGCCGACCUGAGAGAGUGAUCGGCCACACUGGAACGGAGACACGGUCCAGACUCCUGCGGGAGGCAGCAGUAGGGAAUCUUCCGCAAUGGGCGGAAGCAUGACGGAGCGGCGCCGCGUGGGUGAUGAAGGUCUUCGGAUCGUAAAACUCUGUUGUUAGGGAAGAACAUAUGAGUAAGUAGCUGUGCACAUCUUGACGGUACCUAAUCAGAAAGCCACGGCUAACUACGUG
Molecule: ribosomal RNA, 497 nt
Filed under: uncultured bacterium
Lineage: Bacteria
Description: partial 16S ribosomal RNA
Rfam family: Bacterial small subunit ribosomal RNA
Source: RNAcentral